AUGACGAACGCUGGCGGCGUGCCUAAUACAUGCAAGUCGAGCGGACCGGAUCGGAGCUUGCUCUGGUUUGGUCAGCGGCGGACGGGUGAGUAACACGUGGGCAACCUGCCCGCAAGACCGGGAUAACUCCGGGAAACCGGAGCUAAUACCGGAUAACACCGAAGACCGCAUGGUCUUUGGUUGAAAGGCGGCCUUUGGCUGUCACUUGCGGAUGGGCCCGCGGCGCAUUAGCUAGUUGGUGAGGUAACGGCUCACCAAGGCGACGAUGCGUAGCCGGCCUGAGAGGGUGACCGGCCACACUGGGACUGAGACACGGCCCAGACUCCUACGGGAGGCAGCAGUAGGGAAUCUUCCGCAAUGGACGAAAGUCUGACGGAGCGACGCCGCGUGAGCGAAGAAGGCCUUCGGGUCGUAAAGCUCUGUUGUGAGGGACGAAGGAGCGCCGUUUGAACAAGGCGGCGCGGUGACGGUACCUCACGAGGAAGCCCCGGCUAACUACGUGCCAGCAGCCGCGGUAAUACGUAGGGGGCGAGCGUUGUCCGGAAUUAUUGGGCGUAAAGCGCGCGCAGGCGGUUCCUUAAGUCUGAUGUGAAAGCCCACGGCUCAACCGUGGAGGGUCAUUGGAAACUGGGGGACUUGAGUGCAGGAGAGGAGAGCGGAAUUCCACGUGUAGCGGUGAAAUGCGUAGAGAUGUGGAGGAACACCAGUGGCGAAGGCGGCUCUCUGGCCUGCAACUGACGCUGAGGCGCGAAAGCGUGGGGAGCAAACAGGAUUAGAUACCCUGGUAGUCCACGCCGUAUACGAUGAGUGCUAAGUGUUAGAGGGGUCACACCCUUUAGUGCUGCAGCUAACGCGAUAAGCACUCCGCCUGGGGAGUACGGCCGCAAGGCUGAAACUCAAGGGAAUUG
RNAcentral lists this ribosomal RNA (908 nucleotides) under uncultured organism. RNAcentral's name for it is "SSU rRNA". It matches the Rfam family "Bacterial small subunit ribosomal RNA", at positions 26 to 912 of the family's 1533-position model. The record is from RNAcentral.